UACGGAGGGUGCAAGCGUUGUUCGGAAUUAUUGGGCGUAAAGCGCGCGCAGGCGGCCUGGAAAGUCUAUGGGUGAAAUGCCGGGGCUCAACCCCGUGCAUGCCCAGGAUACUGCCAGGCUGGAGACACGUAGAGGCAGGCGGAAUUUCGGGUGUAGCGGUGGAAUGCGUAGAUAUCCGAAAGAACACCAGUGGCGAAGGCGGCCUGCUGGGCGUGAUCUGACGCUGAGGCGCGAAAGCGUGGGGAGCAAACAGG
This 254-nucleotide ribosomal RNA is filed under the name uncultured bacterium. Its description in RNAcentral is "partial 16S ribosomal RNA". It matches the Rfam family "Bacterial small subunit ribosomal RNA", at positions 524 to 776 of the family's 1533-position model. The record is from RNAcentral.